RNAcentral lists this ribosomal RNA (253 nucleotides) under uncultured bacterium. Its description in RNAcentral is "partial 16S ribosomal RNA". It matches the Rfam family "Bacterial small subunit ribosomal RNA", at positions 524 to 776 of the family's 1533-position model. The record is from RNAcentral.
GACAGAGGGGGCAAGCGUUGCUCGGAAUCACUGGGCGUACAGGGAGCGUAGGCGGUUGGAUAAGCCCUCCGUGAAAUCUCCAGGCUUAACCUGGAAAGUGCAGAGGGGACUGUUCAGCUAAAGGAUGGGAGAGGAGCGCGGAAUUCCCGGUGUAGCGGUGAAAUGCGUAGAGAUCGGGAGGAAGGCCGGUGGCGAAGGCGGCGCUCUGGAACAUUUCUGACGCUGAGGCUCGAAAGCGUGGGGAGCAAACAGG